GGAGGAGUGGCCGAGUGGUUGAAGGCGGCGGUCUUGAAAACCGUUAGGCUCGAAAGGGCCUCGGGGGUUCGAAUCCCUCCUCCUCCGCCA
Molecule: transfer RNA, 90 nt
Filed under: Acidobacteria bacterium 13_1_40CM_4_58_4
Lineage: Bacteria; Pseudomonadati; Acidobacteriota
Also listed under: 2 other names
Description: tRNA-Ser
Rfam family: tRNA
About the family: Transfer RNA (tRNA) molecules are approximately 80 nucleotides in length. Their secondary structure includes four short double-helical elements and three loops (D, anti-codon, and T loops).
Source: RNAcentral